RNAcentral lists this long non-coding RNA (328 nucleotides) under Volvox carteri. Its description in RNAcentral is "long non-coding RNA (VCAR_LNC003009)". Lineage: Eukaryota; Viridiplantae; Chlorophyta; Chlorophyceae; Chlamydomonadales; Volvocaceae. The record is from RNAcentral.
UGCAGAGGACGGGGCAGGGCUUCACAAGCUAUGCGGAGUUGCCUGAUUUGCUCCGCGAGCUCGGAGGUUAGCCUUUUCCUUGAGGCCAUUUCUUCACUAGCGGUGAGGAGGUGAGACGCCGAAUGUUCGAGCGGGCUUACGGAGGUCUGCACGCACCGAGGAGGAUGUGACAGCAAUUUUAGCCGUCGGCCGCUCCGCAGAACCAAACCCUUCAUAACUUUUUUGUUUACCUCGAGGACGUGGAGCGCUUUAUUAAAAGCCCUUUGGUGCUGAAGAGUUAGUCGAGAGACGUGCGGUGUUGCUUUGUUUUCAUUCGUUGCCAUGGUUU